RNAcentral lists this ribosomal RNA (907 nucleotides) under Escherichia coli. Its description in RNAcentral is "partial 23S ribosomal RNA". It matches the Rfam family "Bacterial large subunit ribosomal RNA", at positions 243 to 1191 of the family's 2925-position model. The record is from RNAcentral. Lineage: Bacteria; Pseudomonadati; Pseudomonadota; Gammaproteobacteria; Enterobacterales; Enterobacteriaceae.
GUAGCGGCGAGCGAACGGGGAGGAGCCCAGAGCCUGAAUCAGUGUGUGUGUUAGUGGAAGCGUCUGGAAAGGCGCGCGAUACAGGGUGACAGCCCCGUACACAAAAAUGCACAUAUUGUGAGCUCGAUGAGUAGGGCGGGACACGUGGUAUCCUGUCUGAAUAUGGGGGGACCAUCCUCCAAGGCUAAAUACUCCUGACUGACCGAUAGUGAACCAGUACCGUGAGGGAAAGGCGAAAAGAACCCCGGCGAGGGGAGUGAAAAAGAACCUGAAACCGUGUACGUACAAGCAGUGGGAGCCUCUUAAUGGGGUGACUGCGUACCUUUUGUAUAAUGGGUCAGCGACUUAUAUUCUGUAGCAAGGUUAACCGAAUAGGGGAGCCGAAGGGAAACCGAGUCUUAACUGGGCGUUAAGUUGCAGGGUAUAGACCCGAAACCCGGUGAUCUAGCCAUGGGCAGGUUGAAGGUUGGGUAACACUAACUGGAGGACCGAACCGACUAAUGUUGAAAAAUUAGCGGAUGACUUGUGGCUGGGGGUGAAAGGCCAAUCAAACCGGGAGAUAGCUGGUUCUCCCCGAAAGCUAUUUAGGUAGCGCCUCGUGAAUUCAUCUCCGGGGGUAGAGCACUGUUUCGGCAAGGGGGUCAUCCCGACUUACCAACCCGAUGCAAACUGCGAAUACCGGAGAAUGUUAUCACGGGAGACACACGGCGGGUGCUAACGUCCGUCGUGAAGAGGGAAACAACCCAGACCGCCAGCUAAGGUCCCAAAGUCAUGGUUAAGUGGGAAACGAUGUGGGAAGGCCCAGACAGCCAGGAUGUUGGCUUAGAAGCAGCCAUCAUUUAAAGAAAGCGUAAUAGCUCACUGGUCGAGUCGGCCUGCGCGGAAGAUGUAACGGGGCUAAACCAUG